UAAAACACCUUGAGAUAUAUAUUUAUAAUUUAUUAAUUUUUAUCGUAUAAAUGUAUCGUGUUUAACAUUCAUGGACCCAUGUUGUGUAACAUCGAGACAAGCUUGUGUCAUCGGGCUGUGGCCUUAGGGUCAGUCGUCGACCCUCCAGUAUUGUCCUACAAUUUUCCCCGCUUCAACCCGUCAAUCAUUAACCUUAAGGUUGUCGUCGUUCACCCUUUUUCCUCCUCCCCCUUUCCUUUCAUUCCCUUCUUAUCUCCUUCUUUGUCUCUCCCUCUCCUCUCAUUCCCUUUUCUCCUCAUUUUACCACCUCGCGGUUGCUUCUGUUGUGGUCUCCAAUUUGGUUAUCAUUGCUGACCUCGCCAAAAAUUGUUGGGACCUAGUGUCUUUAAUGUAGUGAUUUCAUCUAUAUGAACUUAUAUUUUUCAAACAAAUUAGUUUAAUAAAAUAUCCAUCAAUUCUAUUAUAUAUCCAUAUAUUGUCCUCAAUAUUUUUUACACACAAAGUAAAAUGAAAGAAAAUUGGAGGGAUUAGCUCUUACGAGCAUUGAUGUGUUUCGAAUGGAUUGGCUCUUAUGAGCAUCUGGUGUGUUUUGGUUGGAUUGUUGAUGUACUCGUAUCUAUAAGAUGUUCAUCAAAUUGAAAAUCUCGAUAAGGUAUCUUGUUUCAUGAUUUUAAUGGAAUUGCUAUAUAUAUAUUGAGUAUUGAAUUGAAUGUUGGUGAUUUUUCGGUUAAGGUUGUGAAUAACAGGAAACAUUCAUGGUUGGCUUAUUAUUAUUUGAAUUGUUGCACUUACUUCGGUAAGAUUUAUUGUUUUAAUACGUCAAACUUACUAAGCUUCAUUAAGCUUACUUGUGUUAUUUACUGUUAUUGUAGAUACUCAAGGUUGGACGAUUGGAUCGGCACUCAAGUCACACACUAUCCAACUUAAUUCAAUAGUUUUUGGAAUGUUUGUUUCGGAUUAUAUGGUAUGUAAUAGGCUUUUGUGUUGUUAUUACUAAUUUUUUGAAAUAAGUAAAAUGUUAAGUAUGAUAUUAUGUGUAAAUGCCAACUUAUAUAAUGUAUGUGAUUAAGGUAAGGUUCUAACGCAAAUAUGAAUGAUAUGUGUCAAUGA
RNAcentral lists this long non-coding RNA (1110 nucleotides) under Gossypium barbadense (sea-island cotton). Its description in RNAcentral is "long non-coding RNA (GBAR_LNC019696)". Lineage: Eukaryota; Viridiplantae; Streptophyta; Magnoliopsida; Malvales; Malvaceae. The record is from RNAcentral.